CUUAGAAGCAGCCAUCAUUUAAAGAAAGCGUAAUAGCUCACUGGUCGAGUCGGCCUGCGCGGAAGAUGUAACGGGGCUAAACCAUGCACCGAAGCUGCGGCAGCGACGCUUAUGCGUUGUUGGGUAGGGGAGCGUUCUGUAAGCCUGCGAAGGUGGCCUGUGAGGGUUGCUGGAGGUAUCAGAAGUGCGAAUGCUGACAUAAGUAACGAUAAAGCGGGUGAAAAGCCCGCUCGCCGGAAGACCAAGGGUUCCUGUCCAACGUUAAUCGGGGCAGGGUGAGUCGACCCCUAAGGCGAGGCCGAAAGGCGUAGUCGAUGGGAAACGGGUUAAUAUUCCCGUACUUGGUGUUACUGCGAAGGGGGGACGGAGAAGGCUAUGUUGGCCGGGCGACGGUUGUCCCGGUUUAAGCGUGUAGGUGUGUGUUCCAGGUAAAUCCGGUUCACUUUAACACUGAGGCGUGAUGACGAGGCACUACGGUGCUGAAGCAACAAAUGCCCUGCUUCCAGGAAAAGCCUCUAAGCAUCAGGUAACAUCAAAUCGUACCCCAAACCGACACAGGUGGUCAGGUAGAGAAUACCAAGGCGCUUGAGAGAACUCGGGUGAAGGAACUAGGCAAAAUGGUGCCGUAACUUCGGGAGAAGGCACGCUGACAUGUAGGUGAAGUGAUUUACUCAUGGAGCUGAAGUCAGUCGAAGAUACCAGCUGGCUGCAACUGUUUAUUAAAAACACAGCACUGUGCAAACACGAAAGUGGACGUAUACGGUGUGACGCCUGCCCGGUGCCGGAAGGUUAAUUGAUGGGGUCAGCGCAAGCGAAGCUCCUGAUCGAAGCCCCGGUAAACGGCGGCCGUAACUAUAACGGUCCUAAGGUAGCGAAAUUCCUUGUCGGGUAAGUUCCGACCUGCACGAAUGGCGUAAUGAUGGCCAGGCUGUCUCCACCCGAGACUCAGUGAAAUUGAACUCGCUGUGAAGAUGCAGUGUACCCGCGGCAAGACGGAAAGACCCCGUGAACCUUUACUAUAGCUUGACACUGAACAUUGAGCCUUGAUGUGUAGGAUAGGUGGGAGGCUUUGAAGCGUGGACGCCAGUCUGCGUGGAGCCGACCUUGAAAUACCACCCUUUAAUGUUUGAUGUUCUAACGUGGACCCGUGAUCCGGGUUGCGGACAGUGUCUGGUGGGUAGUUUGACUGGGGCGGUCUCCUCCUAAAGAGUAACGGAGGAGCACGAAGGUUGGCUAAUCCUGGUCGGACAUCAGGAGGUUAGUGCAAUGGCAUAAGCCAGCUUGACUGCGAGCGUGACGGCGCGAGCAGGUGCGAAAGCAGGUCAUAGUGAUCCGGUGGUUCUGAAUGGAAGGGCCAUCGCUCAACGGAUAAAAGGUACUCCGGGGAUAACAGGCUGAUACCGCCCAAGAGUUCAUAUCGACGGCGGUGUUUGGCACCUCGAUGUCGGCUCAUCACAUCCUGGGGCUGAAGUAGGUCCCAAGGGUAUGGCUGUUCGCCAUUUAAAGUGGUACGCGAGCUGGGUUUAGAACGUCGUGAGACAGUUCGGUCCCUAUCUGCCGUGGGCGCUGGAGAACUGAGGGGGGCUGCUCCUAGUACGAGAGGACCGGAGUGGACGCAUCACUGGUGUUCGGGUUGUCAUGCCAAUGGCACUGCCCGGUAGCUAAAUGCGGAAGAGAUAAGUGCUGAAAGCAUCUAAGCACGAAACUUGCCCCGAG
This 1716-nucleotide ribosomal RNA is filed under the name Salmonella enterica. Its description in RNAcentral is "partial 23S ribosomal RNA". It matches the Rfam family "Bacterial large subunit ribosomal RNA", at positions 1105 to 2803 of the family's 2925-position model. The record is from RNAcentral. Lineage: Bacteria; Pseudomonadati; Pseudomonadota; Gammaproteobacteria; Enterobacterales; Enterobacteriaceae.